AAGACUGUUCCUCUUCGUCCUCAACCACACACUCUCUUCUUCUUCUUCCAACACACAACCUCUCAUCUUCACAAAACUCCAAAACAAAACCUACUUCGCCGGCCGUCCUUCACCAACCGCCGAAGACCUCUCUUCCUUCCGUCAACGGAGCCGCAACCCACACAGAACUUUUUCCGGCGACUACCGCUCAUCACCAACAACCUUCUUCCUCACGGACAAACAAAACCCAUUACUACCUUGGCCCUCAUUUUCCUCCACCUUCUCCUACUUCCAUCAAACAACAACAUUAGCAUAAUUUUUCUACUACUACAAAUUCGACACCUUCAUCAUCACCUCCUCCAAAGACUUCAUUCAACAUUGUAGUAGACACCGUCAAAUCGUCGAUCAGUAGUUUCUUUCCUUUUGAUUGAUUGAUUAUCGUGUUUCGUUUGUGAUGCUUGGUUCACGUUUAUGAUCGUAGCGCAUGAGUUCGAUUUAAGUUUUCGUCUCUCUCCACGAGUGAGAAGAACAUUGGAUCUAGUUUGGUUUUUCUUUAUUCUCAGUUUUAAUGGCUUUUGUUAUGUGGCUUUGUUUUAAGUUUCAUACACCAUUGAAAAUAUAGGAAAAACGUGUGUGGAGAGAUAGAGGAGUAAAUGUUUUAUUUUUUUAUUUUCCAAUUUCCUUUUUAAUUAUUGUUAAUUGAAUGCAGUUUAAAAAGUGAAAAUUAUUUUAUAAUUCUUUUAACUCAUUUUAUUAUGUGUCAUUACUGAAAAUUUGAACUUAGGAUUAAAAAUUAGUUUGAUCUUUA
RNAcentral lists this long non-coding RNA (787 nucleotides) under Lathyrus oleraceus (garden pea). Its description in RNAcentral is "Pisum sativum (pea) long non-coding RNA (PSAT_LNC019995)". Lineage: Eukaryota; Viridiplantae; Streptophyta; Magnoliopsida; Fabales; Fabaceae. The record is from RNAcentral.